RNAcentral lists this ribosomal RNA (263 nucleotides) under uncultured bacterium. Its description in RNAcentral is "partial 16S ribosomal RNA". It matches the Rfam family "Bacterial small subunit ribosomal RNA", at positions 91 to 354 of the family's 1533-position model. The record is from RNAcentral.
CUUAGUGGCGGACGGGUGAGUAACGCGUGGGGAACCUGCCCUGUACAGGGGGAUAACACUUAGAAAUAGGUGCUAAUACCGCAUAAGCGCACAGUAUCGCAUGAUACAGUGUGAAAAACUCCGGUGGUACAGGAUGGACCCGCGUCUGAUUAGCUGGUUGGCGGGGUAACGGCCCACCAAGGCGACGAUCAGUAGCCGGCCUGAGAGGGUGAACGGCCACAUUGGGACUGAGAUACGGCCCAAACUCCUACGGGAGGCAGCAG